ACUUAACUGAACCUUCGGGGAACGUUAAGGGCGGCGAGCGGCGGACGGGUGAGUAAUGCCUGGGAAUAUGCCCUGAUGUGGGGGAUAACUAUUGGAAACGAUAGCUAAUACCGCAUAAUCUCUUCGGAGCAAAGAGGGGGACCUUCGGGCCUCUCGCGUCAGGAUUAGCCCAGGUGGGAUUAGCUUGUUGGUGAGGUAAUGGCUCACCAAGGCAACGAUCCCUAGCUGGUCUGAGAGGAUGAUCAGCCACACUGGAACUGAGACACGGUCCAGACUCCUACGGGAGGCAGCAGUGGGGAAUAUUGCACAAUGGGGGAAACCCUGAUGCAGCCAUGCCGCGUGUGUGAAGAAGGCCUUCGGGUUGUAAAGCACUUUCAGUAGGGAGGAAGGUAGUGUAGUUAACACCUGC
This 409-nucleotide ribosomal RNA is filed under the name Photobacterium sp. ES3A-B76. Its description in RNAcentral is "bacterial SSU rRNA". It matches the Rfam family "Bacterial small subunit ribosomal RNA", at positions 66 to 472 of the family's 1533-position model. The record is from RNAcentral. Lineage: Bacteria; Pseudomonadati; Pseudomonadota; Gammaproteobacteria; Vibrionales; Vibrionaceae.